RNAcentral lists this ribosomal RNA (253 nucleotides) under uncultured bacterium. RNAcentral's name for it is "partial 16S ribosomal RNA". It matches the Rfam family "Bacterial small subunit ribosomal RNA", at positions 524 to 776 of the family's 1533-position model. The record is from RNAcentral.
UACGUAGGGUGCGAGCGUUAAUCGGAAUUACUGGGCGUAAAGCGUGCGCAGGCGGUCCGCAAAGUCUGAUGUGAAAGCCCCGGGCUCAACCUGGGAGCUGCAUUGGAAACUAACGGGCUCGAGUGUGGCAGAGGGGGGUGGAAUUCCACGUGUAGCAGUGAAAUGCGUAGAGAUGUGGAGGAACACCGAUGGCGAAGGCAGCCCCCUGGGCUAACACUGACGCUCAGGCACGAAAGCGUGGGGAGCAAACAGG